AACGCACCUUGCGCUCCUUGGUAUUCCUUGGAGCAUGCCUGUUUGAGUAUCAUGAAAUUCUCAAAGUCAAUCUUUUGUUAAUUCAAUUGGUUUGUGCUUUGGACUUGGAGGUCUUUGCGGAUUAAUAAUCUGCUCCUCUUAAAUUCAUUAGCUGGAUCUCAGUAUAUGCUUGGUUCCACUCGGCGUGAUAAGUUAUCACUCGCUGAGGACACUGUAAAAAGGUGGCCAGGAAAUACAGAUGAACCGCUUCUAAUAGUCUAUUAAAUUAGACAAUUAAAUUUUAAGAUCUGAUCUCAAAUCAGGUAGGACUACCCGCUGAACUUAA
Molecule: unclassified non-coding RNA, 325 nt
Filed under: uncultured Cantharellales
Lineage: Eukaryota; Fungi; Basidiomycota; Agaricomycetes; Cantharellales
Description: sequence contains 5.8S rRNA gene, ITS2, 28S rRNA gene
Source: RNAcentral